This 359-nucleotide long non-coding RNA is filed under the name Capsicum annuum. RNAcentral describes it as "long non-coding RNA (CANN_LNC010573)". Lineage: Eukaryota; Viridiplantae; Streptophyta; Magnoliopsida; Solanales; Solanaceae. The record is from RNAcentral.
UGGGAUUCUGAAGCAAGAAGGGGUAUGGAGGUGCUACUAGUUCACAAAUGUUGACUGUUUUGAGGCGGCAAAGGUAUGCUCAUGGACGGUGCGCCCUGACAAUGGUUGUUGUGUCGGUUGGAGGAGUGGAGCUUCGGCGGCUGGUUUAGCGAUUGUGGAUGUGUAGAGCCUGCUGGAGUGGCUGGUGGCUACACAAAAAUGGUUUCACGAUAGGCAGCGGUGGUUGGCUCGUAACUACGAAUGACUGUGUGGUCUACUGGUAGCAGAUUUUUUUGUGAAGGUGCGGCAAAAAUUGACAGCGUUGUUGGAUUUUUAGAGAGAGGAGAGAGAGAAAAAUAGUUAGAGAGGCAGUUGAUUUG